Molecule: ribosomal RNA, 449 nt
Filed under: uncultured bacterium
Lineage: Bacteria
Description: bacterial SSU rRNA
Rfam family: Bacterial small subunit ribosomal RNA
Source: RNAcentral
UCCUACGGGAGGCAGCAGUAGGGAAUAUUGCACAAUGGGCGAAAGCCUGAUGCAGCAACGCCGCGUGCGCGAUGAAGGCCUUCGGGUUGUAAAGCGCUUUUCUGGGGGAAGAGUAAGGACGGUACCCCAGGAAUAAGUCUCGGCUAACUACGUGCCAGCAGCCGCGGUAAAACGUAGGAGGCAAGCGUUAUCCGGAUUUACUGGGCGUAAAGCGUGUGUAGGCGGUAUGGUAAGUCGGACGUGAAAGCUCCUGGCUCAACUGGGAGAGGCCGUUCGAAACUUCCAAACUUGAGGGCAGUAGAGGGAGGUGGAAUUCCGGGUGUAGCGGUGAAAUGCGUAGAUAUCCGGAGGAACACCAGUGGCGAAGGCGGCCUCCUGGACUGUCCCUGACGCUCAGACACGAAAGCUAGGGGAGCAAACGGGAUUAGAUACCCCAGUAGUCCAAGCCG